Molecule: long non-coding RNA, 1128 nt
Filed under: Homo sapiens (human)
Lineage: Eukaryota; Metazoa; Chordata; Mammalia; Primates; Hominidae
Description: HSALNT0326735
Source: RNAcentral
AGCAACCUGUUGGGGUUCCCUUCCACAAUGUAGAGCCUUUGUUGUUUUGCUCUUUGUAAUAAAUCUCGCUGUUGCUGAGUUUUUGAGUCUGCCCUGCCUUUAUGAGUUGUAACACUCACCGUGAAGGUCUGUAGCUUCACCCCUGAGGCCAGUGAAACCACGAACCCACCAGGAGGAAUGAACAACUCCAGACGCGCCUGCCUUAAGAGCUGUACCACUCACCUUGAAGGUCUGCAGUUUCUCUUCUGAAGCCAGCGAGGCUACGAACCCACCAGAAGUAAGAAACUCUGAACGUGUAUGAACAUCAGAAGGAACAAACUCUGGACACAUCACCUUGAAGAACUGUAACACUCACCGCGAGGGUCCACGUCCUCAUUUUUGAGGUCAGUGAGACCAAGAACCCACCAAUUCCGGGCACACUGCCGUUUGUAUGUUGGUAAGAUCUCUUAGUUAUAACUAUGUCCUGAAAUUUUGGAAUGUAUUUUUCUACUAAGGUAAGCCAGGAAAGUUGGAGGAACAUUUGAAUGAGGUGGAGCCGUGUCACCUGGCAUAUGUAAAAGUAAUUUUAAUUUAGAAAGAGUGCAAUUAAUUUCUCUAAUUGUGUAUCCAGGCAUCUGAUUCUGGGUAUGGUACAGUGACUCAUGAAAUAUUUUCAUAACGUUCUUAAAUAAUAAAAUUGACAACCUUCAAUUCUAAAAUGGUCUAAAUAGGUGAAUUUUUUUUUUCUUUACUUCGAAAGAGGCUACCAUGUGGCUGUGACAGUGUAGAAACUGUUUGCUUAACUUCGGGCUUUCUCUCUUUGCCUUCCAGAAUCCCAGUGUGCUCAUCCCAUCUGUGACUCCUGGUCACCGACACAUAAAGUGUAGCACACUGCCAAGCAGCACCUAACUUUCAGAUUUCAUGGUGAACUUGUCCGUGUGGGAAAAGGAGUCCUCGCAACUACUGAGGAUGCUAUUGCUUACUUUGGAGGCAAGAAAUUAUUCUAAACCUAAUUAAUCCACCGCAUCAUAAAAACUUACACCGUUGCUGUCUGAAUUUGUCUAGAAGAGACUGCUGCACAAGUAUUUUCUAAGAAUCGCUUGAGAACCUGCUAAGAUACUUCCAGGCCCAGAUAAUUUAGGUUGUAAU